Molecule: ribosomal RNA, 530 nt
Filed under: uncultured bacterium
Lineage: Bacteria
Description: bacterial SSU rRNA
Rfam family: Bacterial small subunit ribosomal RNA
Source: RNAcentral
AAUAGAUACCCAGGUAGUCCACGCCGUAAACGAUGAGUGCUAAGUGUUAGAGGGUUUCCGCCCUUUAGUGCUGCAGCUAACGCAUUAAGCACUCCGCCUGGGGAGUACGGCCGCAAGGCUGAAACUCAAAGGAAUUGACGGGGGCCCGCACAAGCGGUGGAGCAUGUGGUUUAAUUCGAAGCAACGCGAAGAACCUUACCAGGUCUUGACAUCCUCUGCCAACCCUAGAGAUAGGGCGUUCCCCCUUCGGGGGACAGAGUGACAGGUGGUGCAUGGUUGUCGUCAGCUCGUGUCGUGAGAUGUUGGGUUAAGUCCCGCAACGAGCGCAACCCUUGAUCUUAGUUGCCAGCAUUCAGUUGGGCACUCUAAGGUGACUGCCGGUGACAAACCGGAGGAAGGUGGGGAUGACGUCAAAUCAUCAUGCCCCUUAUGACCUGGGCUACACACGUGCUACAAUGGAUGGUACAAAGAGCUGCGAACCCGCGAGGGUAAGCGAAUCUCAUAAAGCCAUUCUCAGUUCGGAUUGUAGG